RNAcentral lists this small RNA (167 nucleotides) under Streptomyces viridochromogenes. RNAcentral's name for it is "c-di-AMP sequence". It matches the Rfam family "c-di-AMP riboswitch aptamer (ydaO/yuaA leader)". Rfam says of the family: This family represents a conserved RNA structure found upstream of the ydaO and yuaA genes in Bacillus subtilis and related genes in other bacteria. Lineage: Bacteria; Bacillati; Actinomycetota; Actinomycetes; Kitasatosporales; Streptomycetaceae. RNAcentral also lists the same sequence under 1 other name. The record is from RNAcentral.
UCGCGUCAAGCGCCGUAGGCAGGAGCGGGGGACCCAAGGUAGGUGCCCGACCGGCCACUUGUGCCGGAAGGGCUAGGGGUGAAGCCGUGUCCCGGGAGGGGCGCGGCCGGGCAACUCAACCGGCCCGAACCCGACAGCUCACCUCGCAGGCGUCGGUGAGGGGAUCU